This is a non-coding RNA of Monodelphis domestica (gray short-tailed opossum), 15551 nucleotides long. The record is from RefSeq and is a predicted model, not a curated record. NCBI's taxonomy places the organism in Eukaryota, Metazoa, Chordata, Mammalia, Didelphimorphia, Didelphidae.
GGAGAGAUGUGAACCUUGGAAAAAUACCUAAAAAUAAAUAAAUUUUAGGCGACUUUCCUAGGGCCACAAAGGUGGUAAAUGCCUGAGGAUAGUUUGAAUUCAGAUCUGCUUGACUCCAAGCCCAGCAUUUUAUCCACUUUACUACCUGCCUGUCACAAGAAGCACAACUAAGACAAGGCAACUUUCAUGAAAGGUAGAAUGGCACCAGGACUAAUUAUAAUAUCCUACAAGAGUUGGCUGAAGAAACUAGGGAUAUUUAUCUUAGAGAAUAGAAGAUUUACAGGGGAUGUAGAUAGUUGUAUUUGAAAUAUUUAAAGGAUGGCCAUGUGAAGGAGGAAACAUUUAUUCUAUUUGACCCUAGAGGUGAGAAUUAGAGUAGUAGGUGUAAGGAAGUUCCUUAUACCACUGAAAACACAGGCUCUAUCCCUAUUCUUUUCCCCAUGCCGCUGUAGAUCACUAUAUCACUCACAUAAUAUGAAGUUAAUUGCAAAAAUUUUAAGUAUUAAAUUUAGAAUAUGAUAAAUCUAAUCUUUUAAUGGAAUAAUUUAAGUAAAAAAUAUUCCCUCUAGAGUAUACUAAACUAUUCAAAAUGAACUGUUUCUCCAGGAGUAGCCUGAAAAGGGUAAUUUGGCCUAAACACAUAAGCAUUCUGCAUCCAAGAGGAAGCAUACUAUAUUUUUCAACUUAUUUCACUAUAGGAUUAGUUCUGUCUUGUAUAUUAUGAAAAUGGACACGACUAUGCCCCAAAUAGACAACAUUAUCUAAUCUAACUGGCAAAUAAUCUCUAAGGUUCCUUCUAACUAUUAAAAAAAAUAGCACUGUAAUACAGUGGCUCCUGGUAGAAUGCCUUCAUUUUCCUUAGGGUCAACAUCAGUCACUCUCAUGCAAAAUAAUUAUUUCCAUUUUAUAGUAUGAGUAAACAGACUGACUUAUAAUAUAAAGUAACUAGUAAGUAAUGAGUAGGAAUGUAAAGACUUGGUUAGCAGAAGUUCUUGGUUCCCUUAUCCCUUACACUUCCUUGACAAUGUCCACAUCAACGCCAAAAUCCCCAGAGAAACUUGAGGUCUUACUACUUACAAAAAUUUCCCAAAAAUUCAUGUAGAUGUUGGAUUUUACUCUACUGUAACUUCUCUAAUUUCUUUCAAUAAACUAUAAAAAUAGAUCCAUUUUUCUACAUGUUUAUGGUUUCUUUUUAAAAUGUUAAGAAGUUAGUUCCUGAAAAUAGAGAUUUUUAGGUUCAUAAAAUUUGCAAUUUACAAUUCUUUUUUUAAAUGUGCAAAUUUGUGAAUGGGAAAUUUGGAGAAAAGAGUUAAUGUUUUAAAUUUUUUAAGCUAAAGGCUUUAAGUCAUUGCAAACAACAGUGUGGGGAACCUGUAAAAAAAAAACCAAUACAAUUUUCUGUUAAUGCCAACUAAGCAACAGCCAAAACAAUACAAUGUAAUAUAUAUGGCUCACCUACAUAUCACAUCUGGAAUACUGUAAUCAGUACUGGAUGUUAAAUUUUAGAAAGGAUAUUGAUAGACUGAAAGCAAUCCAGAUGAGAGAAACAAAAAUGGAGGACCUCUGGAUCAUGCCAUAUGAGAAAAAAAUUAUGACAACAUAGUCUCUCCAGAAGGGCAAUAAAGUUACCUUUGAAGAACUCUCACUUGGAAGAGGGAUUAGAUUUGUUUGACUAGGCCUAAACAGCAGAACUAGGAACCAUGAGAGGAAAUUGAAAAGAAGCAGAUUUAGGCGAUAAUCUUUUCUUACAUUUUCAGCUCUCCAAAAGUGAAUUGGGUCACACCUUUAAAUGAUAUGAAAAUCAUAAUUGGAUAAGCAUCUCUUAAGAAUGUUGGGGGGGGAUCUUAUUCAGGACUAAAUUUGACUCUAAGAUAUUCUCUAAGGUUCCUCCCAAAUUAGAUGCUAUCAUUCUGAUACUAUGUUAGUCAACAAGCAGCAAUUAAACCAUUAUUAUGCACCCAAAAAAAUGGUCCCAAAAGUCAUAUCUUAAUAGGAGAGACAGCAGGAAAAUAACUAUGUAUAUGUAUAAUAUAAAUGAGAUAGAAACCAGAGGAAAUGCACUAGCAUUGGGAAGGGCAGGGAGACUUCUUUCAAAGGUUGGAUUUUGAGAUGAGUCUAAAAGAAAGCUAAGGGGGCAGCUGGACAGCUCAGUGGAUAGACAGCCAAGUCUAGAGAAAGGUGGUCCUGGGUUCAAAUGUGACUUCAGAUACUUUCUAGCUGUGUGAUUCUGGGCAAGUCACUUAGCCCUAAUUGCCUAGCUCUUACUGCUCUUAUGCCUUGGAACCAAGAGUUUAAAAAAUAAAGAAAGUCCAGGAAGUGGAGAUGAGAAAGGAAAGCAGAGGGACAACCAGUGAAAAGGCAAAGAUUUAGAAGAUAAAACGCUAUGUUCAGGAAAAACAAGGCCAGGGUAAUGUGUUGUGAGGGGAGUAAAGUGUAAGAAAAAUAAUAUACUGAAAAGGUAAGUAAGGUUGUAAAGGAUUUUUUUAAGACCCUCAGAGAUCUUAUAUUUGAUUCCAGAGAUAACAGGGAGCUACUAGAGUUUAUUGAGGGAAGCUAGGUAGUACAGUAAUAGAACACUGGGUCUAAAGUUGAAAAGUUGUAUUUUAGUCAUUUCAGUUGUUUCAGUCAUGUCAGACUCUUUCCAAAUUUGGAUUUAGGAAGAUGACUCUUGACUGCAGACCUGACACAUUGUGCCAACUAGGUGCCCCUGGAAUCAGGAAAUCAAAUCCAACUUUAAACACUUCCUAGCUAUGUGACCUUGGCAAAUCACUUCACCCUACUGGCCUCAGUUUCUUCAUCUAUAAAAUGAGCUAAAGAAGGAAAUGGCAAACCACUCCAAUAUCUUUGCCAAGGAAACCCCAAAUGGGGUCACAAAGAGUCAGAUACAACUGAAACACCUGAACAACAACAAAGAGUUUAUUGAACAGAGAAACAGUAUAGUCAAACCUGUCCUUUAGGGAAAUCACUUUAGCAGCUAAAUGGAAUAUGAAUUGGAGUGGGGAAGAGACUAUAGGCAGGGAAACCAUCCAGAAGGCAAUUGCAAUAGUCAUGGCAUAAGGUAACGAUGGCCUGCACUGUGAUAUGUGAAUUUAAAAAAAGGGGAAAUAUACAGGAAACAUUGUGAAGGUAGAAGUCAUAAGACUUGGCAACAGAUCAGAUAUGAGAGUGAGUGUGAAUGAGUUAAGGAUUAACACCUAGGUUGCACAUCUAGGUAACAGUGAGGGUGGUGGUGCCCAUUCCUAAUGUAGUUUGAAAAAUGGAAGAGUUUAAGACAAAAAAGAGGAAUUGUUUUGUACAUAAUUAGUUUGAGAUGUUUUUAAGACAUCAUUUUUGAGAUGUCCAAGAGAUAGUAUAACAUGUGAAAGGUUUUGGCAGUUGGUAAAUGAUAUUUGAAUUACUGAGUUCAGUUAUGAGUUCUACAUUUUAAAAGACUUUGAGAUCCAGAGCAUAUACAGAGAAGAGGCACCCAGAAUAGAGAAGGCUUGAAAACUUAAGUCAUAUGAAAAAUACCUAAAGUAAUUAGAGAUCAUUAAUCUUGCAUUUAUUAAGCCCCUAGUAUUAAGCCAGGCAUUGCACUAGGUAGGCUCUGUGGAUAAAAAUGUCAAAGUAAGCAAUCCCUGCCCUCAAUCUUAUCUUCUACCAAGGAGAUAAAACACAUUCACAAAUAAAUUCAAAGUGAUUUCUCAGAGAGGAGAGCCCUAAGAAUUGGGGAUACCAAGAAAGGCCUCCUUGAAAGAGAUUGUACUUGAGCUGAACUUUGAAGUGAGUUCAGGACCCAGUGGCAGAGAUAAAGAAGAAAAGUCUUCCAAAGUAUGGGCCUUUGUACUGAGAGGCAGGAAAUAGAAUGCAGUUAUAGGGAACAGAAAGUAGCCUGUUUGGCUAGACUAUUUGGUACAUGUUGGGAAGUAAUAUGGAAUCAGCCAGGAAAGAUGGGACAAAGCCAAUUGUGAAGGGCUUUAUGUGUAUUUUAUCCUAGAGGUAACAGAGCAAACCAUUACCUAGAAUUGUGCUUUUGAAAUACCAUUUUGGCAGCUAUGUGGAGGGUAGAUUCUAGAGGGUUUAGAGACAGAUUGCAGGAACAUCAUUUGGGAGGUUAUGGCAAUAAUCUAGGUGAGAGGUGUUGAAUACUAGGUUAAUAUUUAUGGGAUUGGAGGGGAGAAGAAUGCAAGAUAAUGGAGGAGGUAGGACAUAAAAAGAUUUCUGCAUUGGAAGGUUAGAAUAAAUGAUCCCUAGAGGUCUAUUAGAGAGAAUUAAGAUUCUUAACUCUGCUAAGGAUGCUUGAAGAUAGAUACUCUGUUUUUUGUUUAAAGAACAUUUGAAUAGCUACAUUGUGGUGCUAGAAAUAAAGCCAGAAAGAAGUAAGUUCAAAUCCUCUCUCAGAUACUGACAAGCUAUGUGACUCUCAGUCAAAUUAAUGAAUCUCUGUAAGCCUUUGCCUCCUCAUCUAUAAAAUUUGGAGAGAUUGGAUUAGAUUGUCUUUAAGGUACCUUACAGCUCUAAAUCUAUGAUAUUAUGAUACCUCUUUCUAAAGUCAACUCACUCUCUCAAAUAUUAACAUUCUUAAAUUGUGAACAAUGAUGUGAGAAAGUAAACCAGAUUCUUAUUAAAAUACCUCAGAGAAUACAGAUUUAUCCAUUUGAACAAUUUCAAAUAAGAGGUAAAAAUGUAACUUAUCUUAAUCUGGUCCAUUUUAAAACAUGGUAGACUUUGGAAACAUUAAAUGUUUUCAACGAUGUACAAUACUGACAGUAGAGUACAUUUCCUGUUCUACUUUCAAAUUUGCCCCUUUGUAUGACCCAUAUUAAUGUGUCUCAGUGUUCACAUAAAACAAAUAGAAUCUAAACCAAAUGAGUCAUCUAUGUACAAACAAAAAGUCGAGUAUAUGUUAUUCAGCUGGUCUCUAUAGGAAGUCCCCCCAUGUGAAUCAUGUUUGUGCUUUUUAAAAAUUGUAUGCUCAAAUCAACACAAAUAAGACAAGUAAUCAUUCUAUCUACAGUUUCUUAAAUAAUCAAGUUCCAGGGAGAAUUUUUCAAUUGUAUGUAUUUCUGUGAAGUUUUAGUUUAUAAUAUUUGUAUGAUUAACAUUAGCUAGCGAAAAUAAGUUGAAUUGGGAGAAACAAAAGGGUGUUGGGCAAUUGAAGAACCACUCAUAUUCUUCAUAUAAAGCAUAAUACCAAAAGUAUUCCACAGAAGUUGGAUUUUAGUAAAGACAGUUUGUUGGAUAUUUUAAUUUCACAAACAUUUGCUAAGCAUUUGCUGAACAAAAGACCUAGAGGAGAGGCAUUAAAGAUACGAAAUAAGACAUUCUAGACUUUAAGGAACUUAUGACCCAAAGGCAUGUACACAAAAAGCAGCUUUCCACUUUGCAUAAUUAGUCCUGAAAAAAUAUUAUGGGGACAUAAUUAAUUCCAUAGAACAUUGUCUAAUAUACAUAGUAAUCAGUAUGGAAAGAAUAAACUACUUAAUUCAGGGGAAUUAAAGCCAUUGGGGCUUAAGAGUUAGCUCAGAUGCUUAUUAGUUAUUGAUUUGUCUUGAAUGAUGGUGUAUAAUAUAAAGAUGUCAUAGGGGGCAGCUUAGGUGGCUCUAUUGAUGAGAGCCUGGUCUUAGACAGAAGGUCCUGGGUUCAAAUUUGGCCUCCGACACUUCCUAGUUGUGUGACCCUGGGCAAGUCACUUAACCCCAUUGUUUAGCACUCUUCUGACUUGGAACCAAUGGGGGGGAAGGAACUAAGAGGAGGUUCUUAUGUAGGAUUUUAGCUUAGGCUUGAAAGGAAACCGAGAAAGAGGGAGAAGGAGGAAGAGGGAAUAAAAAGAGAGAAUUGUAGGCCUGUAUGAUAUACAGUGACAUGUCCACUGUGGAGAUGGAGUAUUAUGAAAGGAACAGUAAGGAGGUUAGUGUCAAUGGUCCUGAAGUAGGUAGAAAGGCAGCAGCGGGGCUAGGUUUUGAAGGCCUCUAAAAUUCAAACCAGAGGAUUUUAUAUUUGAUCCUAGAGGUGAUAGAGAGCCACUCAAGCAUACUGAAUGAGUGACAUUGUCAGACCUUUAGGAAGAUUAAUUUGACUGUUGAGUGGAGAAUGGAUUAGAGUGAUGAGACAGGAAGAGAGAUCAACAAGGCGGCUAUUAUUGCCUUCAGUAUAAGGUGAUGCGAAUCUGGUGACAAUAUCAGAGGAGAGGAGACAUAUCAAAAGAUAGUACAAAGACAAAAUCAACAGGCCUUGUCAACUGAUGGAAUUUUGGGCGUUGAGAGUAAGGAAUGGAAAGGCUGGAUGCUGGUACUCUUGACAAUAAUAGGGAAAUUACAAGGUGGGGGAGGGCAUGAAUCAGGAAAAAGGAGAGUACUUUUGCACUGGAAUGUUUGCACUAGGUUUGCAUCCUGCCUCAGACACUCCCUGAUCUUUCUCCUCAUCUGUAAAAUGGGGAAAAUCAAUAGGACCUAAUUCAUAAGGUUGUUUUAAAAAAUUUUUUAAAGAAAACAAAUGAAGUGCUUUGCAAACUUCAAAAGCAUUUUAUAAAUAUGAGUUAUUUGUUCACUUAAGUCUCAAAGUAAAGACAAAGGUAAAGCUGGAAUUAUAGAUCAAUAAGGGUGAUACUUGAAUACACUGAAGUGGAUGAUAACAUUAUUGCAUAUACAGAGAAAGGAAAAUUGCCUACAAAUUUCAGAAUUAUGUCUGUAUCUAAGGGGGAGGGGGGAGAAGGAGACAAAGGGAGAGAGACAGAAAUUAAAUUAGAGUUCUCUGUCAUAAACAUCAAUAUAUAAAGGAUAAAACAUCAAUAAAGUAAUGGCAUGUUCAGCCAUGUCAGAGGAUUCAGAAGAUUAGACCUGGGGGAGAAAAACCAUUAGAUUCAGCAAUUAGAUAGUCGUUUCUGAUAGAUCAAUUUCAGGGAUAAUUGUGGAGACAGACUUAGUUUAUAAGACAUUGAAGAGUAAUUAAGUGAUGAAGAAAGGGAGGCAACGAGUGUAUAAUGUUUUCUAGACGUUCAUUCAAAAAAAAGAUGGAAUUUAUAGUUAAAGGGGUUAAUGUUUUUUCUCACAAAAGAAGACAUGAACAUAUUUUUAGACAGAGACCAGGUGGAAAAGGAGAAUUUGAAAAUGCAGUAUUUUUCUUUUUCUUUUUUUUUUAUAAACCCUUACCUUCCAUCUUGGAAUCAAUACUGUGUAUUGGCUCCAAGGCAGAAGAGUGAUAAGGGCUAGGCAAUGGGGGUCAAGUGACUUGCCCAGGGUCACACAGCUGGGAAGUGUCUGAAGCCAGAUUUGAACCUAGGACCUCCCGUCUCUAGGCCUGGCUCUCAAUCCACUGAGCUACCCAGCUGCCCCCCAGUAUUUUUCUAAGUAGUAAGACCUCAAGUUUCAUAAAAAUUUUUCCCUGGGGUAGACAUUGUCCAGAAGUCAAGGAAGGUAGAAGAGGAAAAAGGGAGUUGUGCUCACCACAUCUUUAAAUGUCCAAGUCACUAGAAGAAAGGGAGGAAUUUAAAUUGAGGAUUCCUACUAGCUACUUAAGAACAACCUCAAAAAUCAUACAAAUAAGAGUAUUCUAAAAUGACUUACAUAGUACAUUUGUGAAAAUAAAUUGCCAUGUUCGCAGGUUUGAACAACAUUCUGUCUGGGCAUGGUUUAACUAGUAGACUAUAUGUAUACUGUAUCAAACCUAACAGGGAUUGUCUACUUUAAGUUAAGUAUUAAAAAUUCAUAAGUUUGUUUAUUAUAGUAUUCAUAGAAAUAGUGGUAUAGAAACCAAUUGUACAAUAUAAGCCAGUAAUGAAUUAAAAGAUCAAAGUAAGUAUGGAAAUUUUGUGCCUAUUUAGAUAUCUUGAACAUAGAUAAUAUUUGUUAAACUGGCACUGGAACAUAAGUAUAUGGCCUAUGCCACUGAGAAGGGUGAGACUGUUAGAUCUCAGGAGUUCUGAGUUAAGGUUGAGCUAAAGACCUUCACUAAUAGGGUGAGCUCACUGGCUGUCUAAGGAGGGGAAAACUGGUCCAGGUUAGAAGUAGAACAGAUCAAAACUUUGUGUCAAUCUACACCAGAGUUGGUUCUGUGAAUAGCUCCUGUACUUCUAGCCUACAUAAGAUAGGGAAACCCAUUAUAAAAAAAGAGAGAGAGAAUAAAAUGUAAGCCUGCAAAAUAUUUCUUUUCACAUAUGCAGUAUAAAUAGAAACUAUUAUUAUAAAAUAUUUGGAUUUUUAGUCAUUGUGACAAAAUGGUAUUUUGUAAAAUACUACAAGAACAUAACUACCUUUAGCAAAAUAAACACCCUUUAGGACUGAUAGCACAAAUAUACCUCUCCAAAGGCAAUCCUGGAAAGGGCAAGGAUUGUCUUAAGUCUCACAGAAAUUUCAUGUGGAACCAGCAAACCCUACCCACACUGGCUCCCCUUCUCUAUCCGAAACUAAGAUAUAGCCGAAUCCCUAAAGUGAUGACAUAAAUCCAUGUGUCGAUGCCCACUGCAGGAAUUAAAAGGAAAAGGGAAUAAGCAUUUAUAUAGAGCAGUGAUAGUGAACCUUUAGAGUGCCCAAACUGCGACCCUCACACACAUGUGAGCUGCCCCUUUUCCUCAGACAGGGAAGGGAAGAAGUGCUCCCAUAGGGCUCCUGAGCAGAGGGGUGGGUAAGGGGAGAAUUGUCCUCGGGUGCAUGUGGAGAUGGGGAGGGGAUCAACCCCCUCUAGCAUGAGUGCCCUAGGUUUGCCAACAUGGAUAUAGGACUUUCUAUCUGCCAGGCACUAUGCUAAGUGCUUUACAAAUAUUUCAUUUGAUUCUCACAACAACCCAAUGAGGUAGGUGCUGUUGUUAUCCUCAAUUUUCAGUUGAGGAAAUUGAGUAAAACAAAGAUUAAGUAACUUGCCCAGCCAAGUCACACAGCUAGUAAGCUGGAGACUAAUGGAGCAUAGAGAAGAGGAAUAAGCAAAAGCCCAUAAAUGUUUACUUUAGACAAUUUUUCUUUCUGCCUUAUUUUUUUUCAACUAUAAAAUAAGAGUAGUGGAUUCUGUAAUCUUCCAAGUUUUCUUCUAACUUUAACAAAAACGAGAGUAUGUAUGAAGGAGGCAGCUAGGUGGUUCAGUGGAUUGAGAGUCAGGAGAUCCUGGAUUCAAAUGUGGCCUAGACACUUUCUGACUGUGUGACCCUGGGCAAGUCACUUAUCCCCCCCCCUCCCCCAUUGCCUGACCCUUACUGCUCUUCUGCCUUGGAACUAAUACACAGUAGUGAUUCUAAAACAGAAGGUAAGAUUUGCAGGGGGCUGAGGGGGAGGGGACUAGUAUAUAGGAAAAUGUUAAUCCCUAGAAAAUUUUUCAGACUCACAUGUAAUGUCUUUAAAUAGAUCAUAUACGGUCAGAUGCAGAUCCUCCUAAAUUCAUAUUAAUAGCACCCCCAACUUUGGCAUUGAAUUACUUAUUCACAGAACUUGUGAAUUUCUGAAGGCUCAUUCCUUUUUCUUGGUACUUUGGUAGCAGGGAGUUUUAAAAGUACUUGCUUUCCAUUAAAUAAUAAAGAGCACAUAUUUUUGAAAAGACAUUAACAAAUGGGAGUAUAUUCAGAGGGAAGUAACCAGGGUUAUAAGGAGUCCUGAAAGUGUACUAAAAAUGAUCGGUCAGAGGAAUUUUGGAUGUUUAGCUUAGAGAAGACUAGACUUAGAGGGAGACAUAAUAGCUGUCUUUAAAUAUUUGAAAGGCUCUCAUCUGGAAAAGAGAUUAGACUUGUUCUGCUGUGCCCCGAGGGCAGAACCAGGAGCUGUGGGUGGUAGUUUUAGAGUGGCAGUUUUAGGUCCCACAUAAAAGGAAUACUUCCUAAUAAGUAGGGCUAUGCAAUAAUGAAAUGGGCUACUUCAGGAGAUAAGUACCCUAUAACAGAAGAGUCUUCAAACAGAUGCUAAGUGACCUCUUGUUGGUAUUGUAGUGGGAAUCUAUGCUUCAGGUCCUUAUUGGACUUGUUGAUGUCUGAGGACCCUCAUGACUUGGACAUUUUAUAAUUCUGGUUCCAACAGAAUUGGCAUUGGAGGAGGGAUCAGAACUAUUUUUUAUGCUUCAAAUGAAAUAUCAGGUUAUCAAAUCAUUAUCCACUUAUCUCCUAAGCAAAAUGAAAAAUGAAUAUUCAGAGAAAUGGGGAUUAAAAACCAUAAACAGUAGAACCACUAACCUGCCUAAAUUAAAUACAUAGUUCUCAGAAAAUACUUAUUUCUCUCUUGCCAAAAUUUCUUUUAAUUCUUGCUACAUUUUUAGCAAUAAAUUUAACUGCCUGAAACCAAGGUAUUUUUGUAAGUGUUCCUGAAGCAAUAAUUCCUACCCCCUGGUGCUCAGAUUUUCAAAUUCUUAACCUUCAAGAGGCUAUUUUUAAUUUUUUUUUUUGCCAGUAGAGGAACCAUAGUAUUAACUUUUUUUUAUCCCCUUUUUUUCUUCCCUAUUUACAAAGCUUCUUCUAUAGGGGUUCCUAACUUGGGGUCUAAAGGCACCCAAAGUCCAUGAAUAGAUUCCAGGAGUUCCACGAAUUUAGACAGAAAAAAAAAUUACAUCUUUAUUUUCACUAAUCUAACUGAAAUUAUCAUCAGAUAUCAAUUCAUCAGAUUAUGAAGAGUCUAUAACACACACAAAAAAAGAUUAAGAACUCCUACUCUAUUGUGAGUUAUUGUGAUUUUUUAAAAACUCUUCAUUCAGAUGACUCUACAAGCUUGGGUAUGGUGGUCUUUGAAUAGGCACAAUAUCUAUAGCACAGAGCCAGGACCAGAGCCUUUCCUAGCUUGAUAAGACCUUACCCAGAAUAGGUGUUUCAUUACUGAAUGUUCAAGAACCCAGCCUAGGGAGAGAUUAUAAUUUUCUAAAGGCUGAAGGCUAAAAUGAAAAUUCAAUUAGAUAAAUGUCUAAUUGCUUCCUAUUUGAAUGGGACUUUUAAAAAGACAGUUGCUACCAUCCAGAUUGCUGCCCUCAAGGAGCUUUUAUGCCCCUCUUGAGACCUUACCUACAUAGGUAAAUUCAAGUUUCCUUGCAUUUAUUAGGUCCCUAAGGGCUGUGACGUUGUUUUUUUUUGUUUGUUUGUUUGUUUGUUUUUUGUACUCUCCAGUACUUAGCACUGGGCCUAGUUUAUUGUUUAUUGACUAGUAAAUUAAUUUUAGGAAGAAGCCUGGACCAACAACUGGUGAGAAUCAGGAAAGGCUUCUCCUAGGAGGUGGCAGACCUUGUAAGAGACCAAGUUGAGGGAAGAAUUCAUCCAUGACCUGGAGGAUAGUUGUGCAGACAGGGAAGUAGAGGAUGGCAUAUCAAGAGUUCAGAAGACAAUUAGUAAGCAAGCUAUCCAAGCAUGGAACUUAUACUGUGAAAUAAGGCCAGAAAGAUAUAUGAGAGCAAUCGUGGGAGGUUUUAAUACAAAGAUGAGGAACUGGUAUUUUAUCCUUGAAGCAAUAAGGAGCCACUAGAGAUUUUUGAAGAGGGGCAGGAGAUGUUUAAAAUAUCUUAAGAAGAAAAAUUUAAGUUUUGUGGAAAAUAGAUUUGGAGAGGAAAUGGAUUGGAAACAGAACUAGAGAGCAUUAGAACAGAGAAUUUGGAGGACACAGCAAUAAUCCAUGUAAAGGAGAUGAAGACCUAAAGGUAGAGUAGGAAAUACAAAGUAGAGAGAAGGGGAAUGCUUAUGACAGAUGUAGAUACAGAAUCAAGACUCACAGCUAAUUGCCAGAGGGAAGGGGGGAGAGGGAAAGGGAAGAGUCAGUAACUGAUGUUACAGAACCCAGUAACUAGAAUGAUGGUGUCCUUAUCAGAUGGUGUCCUUAUUAUAGUGUGGGAAAGAAAUGUGGAACAUUCAGCCAAGAAAAAAGGUCAGCAGCAACCUAAAAAUCUCAGGAAGGAGACAGGCACAGCAAGGAUAACCAAAGGAAAAGUGAGGGAGUUUAAGUAGAGGACGACCUGAGAGCCCUUCCUGACCUAAAUCAAUGAUUUAGCACAUACAACUGGGAAAUGGGUAAGUAAAAAGACCAACUGGCUAGAAACUCCUAGGAAGUUUUUAAAAAGUUGGAUAACCUAGUCAUAGGAACAUUAAAGAGAGGUAGAAGGGAUCUCAGUGGCUAUGAGCUAACUCCCUCAUUUACAGAUUUGGAAACUGAGGUUUAGGGAGGUUGUGUCUUGCCCAAGGUUACUCCAGGGGAGAGUGUUGGAGCCAUCCAAGUUCUCCUAUGCUAGAGCCAGUGAGCUUUUCAUUCAACAAGCUCCCUAUGUAACUUAAAGUAAAAGGGAAAUAAGAGUCUUUUAUUCCUUAGGUAGGCUCUACCUCACUGUAAACCUAAAAACUCAAUCCUCUUCUUAGUGCUAAUUCAGCUCAUCAAGGACUGCAUACUUAAAACUUUUAUUGGCAUAGUCAAUAGUAACUCCAUUAAAGUCAAGAAUAAGGGAUUUAUCUAAGCAAAGGCUCUCUUGAACAUAGGCAGCCUAAAGGUGGUAAGGGUUCACAAAAAACAUUCCUUCUAAACUCCCUAAAUCUUAUUUAGAAAUGCCACCAAUACCGACAGGGGCUGUGGCUUUGGGCAGCACGCAUGAGCCUGCUGGAGCUCCGAGACGGACCGAUUGUUUCGGUAGGAAUACACUCAUCGCAUGAGUAAAUACACACAAAGUCUCACACGCAUUUUCUGGUUCGGAGUGUUAACAAAGGGUCGGUUGCCCACCGUUUUCUUUUACGUUUAUCCUAAACCACAUUUGUUUACUCCGAUCAGUUCAUUAAACGGCAAACUACCUACGGACCGUUGCUGCCUUGCUGCAGCAGUAGGCUCGAUCCCUGCGGUUGAGGAGUGAACGAGUACGCAUGCGCCUUUGACAGCCUCUAAAGGAUGUUGAAGUGGGGAGCGCGAAGAGUUUGACGCGCAUGUGUAAAAGACUCGAGGGAGGAGAAGUGUGGAGAGUUGGGUGGGGUUUUGCGCAUGUGCAAAAGUUGUUGGGAAAGUGGAGGAGGGAGGAUGAGGAGAUAUUGACAGUAGUAGCCGCCCUCGUUCCCGGCAUGCCCUGGGGCGGCGGGGUUGGCUCUAACGAAUUUGAAUGAGGAGCCCUUGCGCUUUCGGCGCCAUUUUCGAGUGAUGCUUGAUCGCAUCAUUUCAGCGGGAGAAACGGGGCACCCUAAUCCGGGUGGAAAGCCCCAUGGGGAACCCCCUGAAAAAUCGCCAAAAAAUCUUUUAAAAUUUCCUCUAGAUGGAGGCAGUACGUGGAACUUCUUUGGGGCCAGCGCCAUCGGUUUUGACCUUUUUGUAGAGGAGAACUGAUUCUGGAGAACAACUUAACUUCUGUGAUUGAAAACCCCCAUAUUAUAUAUGGAAAAAGAUGGGAGAUUAAGGUUAUAGCAAGUUAAGAUAGGCUGUAUUGGUACUAUGUGAUAACAACUUGUUGACCUCAAUUUGAAGAAGCAUUCUUGAUUUGACUACAAGUGAGACUUCCACAAUAUUUCUGAAGUAUCUCUUAAGGGAACUUGGUUCCUCUUUGACUCACUGAAAAGGACUCCUGGAUGCUGAGACUAUAUCACAUGGAAACAUUUUCAGAGAAUUACAAGAAUUCUUGUUGGCAUUGCCACCAUCCCAAGCUUUAAGUGUCAAGUAAGUAUCUGGACUUAACCAAAAUAGCCUUCUACUUUAUGGCUAGUUUGGAUCACCCCGUAGUUAUUUAAUAAAUUCCAUCAAAAUAACCCCAAACCCAGAAUCAAUCAUGCUUUGGUCCAUUCACUUAGGCUGCGAAGACACAACCUUUAUGUUAGAAGCUACCCAGGACUGACUGAUAAGAGAGAAGCUUUUGAAAGCUUAUAACCUCUUUUCUGGCCAAUCACCAUUUGGACAAACCAGCAAGAGGGAUAAAGUCCAGGCAGAAUAGAACAUUCCUUGUCAUAGGAUCAGAGGUUAUUAAAAUGUUCACUUGUAUUGGGCUUGUUGAUCUUGUUCUUCCUCGCCUUUGCUGAUCUUCUGGACCCUGAGCUCUGCCUGCCUGGAUCUGCACACAGCACCUGCUUGAUCUUGCCUGCCUUUGCUGAUCUCCUGGACUUUGCCUACCCACAUGGACCCAUGGCACCUGCUUGUUCCUCCCUGCCUUUGCUGGUCUCCUGGAUUCUGGACUUUUGUGUUUCCAUGGGAAUCCAUUUGCUCCUUCCUUAUUAAUUGAUCCUACUCUGUUCUUAACCCUUUGCCUGCCUAUACUUUUUGGUAUCUAGAAAAUGCCUGUGGAUUAACUGAACCCCCUUCCCUGCCCUCUCCUGCCUACCGUGAUAUUUGCCCCUGCAUAAUAGUGGGAAUUUAUUGGCUUUUUAAAAAAUAAUGAGAAAAGCGCCUGGCAUUAAAGAAUUUAUCUUAUUUUUAAAUCUCCCUAAAUUUUUAAAUCUCCCUAAAAUUUACCUCCUAAAGCGACUUUUAGCUGCCCUCUUUCCCAUUUUAUAAGCAAGGUUAUAGCAUAAGAUAUGUUUUGGGCAGAAUUCUAUAGUAUCCAAGAAGCCAGGGUGCUUUCUGAAGGGUCAAAGUUUGUGUCUUAAGCUUCCCUUAGAUGUACUACAAUGCACAAUGUUAACACAUUAGAAGGCUAUAUUUGCUUCAGUAAAUACCAUGUUGGCCUGAAAGUAAGUUGUACCUUUGCAAAAAAUUAGGCAAAACCUGUUUAUGGUUUUUUAUCUUAUUGGAAAAAUAUCACACGUAAGAAACAGACUAGUUCUAUAAUUUCAUUAGUAUCAGGAGCUCCCCAGUAAGGGAACUUUCCCAAAUGCAGGUUGAAACUUUCUCUGCAACCUAAAAUCAAAAAGAAUUGCCUAGAGGUCUGAGAGAUUAAGUAUGUGACCCUUCUUUUCCCAGAGUCCCACAGCCAGUAUGUAGGAGGGACAACAUUUGAACUUGGGUCUUCUUGGCUUUAAGGACAGUUACCUCUCAAUCCACCAAGCCAAAUUGUUGUUAGUAAGGGAGGUCAAUAAAAGUGACAAAGAUGGAAAAAAAGGAUGACCAAAGUAAAUAAACAACUGUAGUAGAAUGGAAAGUUGAUUUUAAAAAAUUCUUUUAACUUUCAGAAUAAAUCUCUGAAUACAAUAAUUUCAUAUAAUUAUUUUCCAGUUUUCGCCAAUUCUUUUUAAAAAAUCUCAUUUUAGGAAUGCAACCCUUAUUGGAGUAUGACCCAUAUUCUGAUCAAUAUGGUACAAGUUUGAAGUAGGGGCCUGUUAAAGGAGAUAUAAGGAUGAGAUAAUGAGUUGUAUUCUAAGAUCAUCUUUAAAUAUUGCCACAAAUUGCCUCUCGGGCUAAAUGGAGAGGCAAAUUUGAAGGAAAUCUUUUUUGUUCCAAACCUUUUAUUAUUUGAGCUACAUAUCCUAUUAUGCCUGUAAUACCACCAUACCCUUUGGUGAAAAUGUAAUGUAAAAUGUUUCUGUAUGACAGUUGUGAAGAAUUUUUAUUUUUAAGUUCUUUUGUUUCCUUAUUUAUCACAUAAUUUGUUUUCAAAAAAUGUUUGUCAAUUUAUUAUUGUACUUUCUUUGAGGUAGAGCACUGUGUUUUAGUUAAUCUUUAUAUCCCUGAUGCCUGGCACAGUCAGUGCCUUGAAUUACAGUAAGUGUUUAAUAAAUGUUUGUUAUUUAUUUA